GAUGAACGCUGGCGGCGUGCCUAAUACAUGCAAGUCGAGCGAACAGACGAGGAGCUUGCUCCUCUGACGUUAGCGGCGGACGGGUGAGUAACACGUGGAUAACCUACCUAUAAGACUGGGAUAACUUCGGGAAACCGGAGCUAAUACCGGAUAACAUGUUGAACCGCAUGGUUUAACAGUGAAAGACGGUCUUGCUGUCACUUAUAGAUGGAUCCGCGCCGCAUUAGCUAGUUGGUAAGGUAACGGCUUACCAAGGCAACGAUGCGUAGCCGACCUGAGAGGGUGAUCGGCCACACUGGAACUGAGACACGGUCCAGACUCCUACGGGAGGCAGCAGUAGGGAAUCUUCCGCAAUGGGCGAAAGCCUGACGGAGCAACGCCGCGUGAGUGAAGAAGGUCUUCGGAUCGUAAAACUCUGUUAUUAGGGAAGAACAAAUGUGUAAGUAACUAUGCACGUCUUGACGGUACCUAAUCAGAAGGCCACGGCUAACUACGUG
This 497-nucleotide ribosomal RNA is filed under the name uncultured bacterium. RNAcentral describes it as "partial 16S ribosomal RNA". It matches the Rfam family "Bacterial small subunit ribosomal RNA", at positions 28 to 507 of the family's 1533-position model. The record is from RNAcentral.